UGCCAGACUCCUACGGGAGGCAGCAGUGGGGAAUAUUGCACAAUGGGGGAAACCCUGAUGCAGCGACGCCGCGUGAGCGAUGAAGUAUUUCGGUAUGUAAAGCUCUAUCAGCAGGGAAGAAGAUGACGGUACCUGACUAAGAGGCCCCGGCUAACUACGUGCCAGCAGCCGCGGUAAUACGUAGGGGGCAAGCGUUAUCCGGAUUUACUGGGUGUAAAGGGAGCGUAGACGGCGAUGCAAGCCAGAUGUGAAAGCCCGGGGCUCAACCCCGGGACUGCAUUUGGAACUGUGUGGCUGGAGUGUCGGAGAGGCAGGCGGAAUUCCUAGUGUAGCGGUGAAAUGCGUAGAUAUUAGGAGGAACACCAGUGGCGAAGGCGGCCUGCUGGACGAUGACUGACGUUGAGGCUCGAAAGCGUGGGGAGCAAACAGGAUUAGAUACCCUCGUACA
RNAcentral lists this ribosomal RNA (448 nucleotides) under uncultured bacterium. RNAcentral describes it as "bacterial SSU rRNA". It matches the Rfam family "Bacterial small subunit ribosomal RNA", at positions 329 to 794 of the family's 1533-position model. The record is from RNAcentral.